Molecule: ribosomal RNA, 725 nt
Filed under: uncultured bacterium
Lineage: Bacteria
Description: bacterial SSU rRNA
Rfam family: Bacterial small subunit ribosomal RNA
Source: RNAcentral
AGAGUUUGAUCCUGGCUCAGAUUGAACGCUGGCGGCAUGCCUAACACAUGCAAGUCGAGCGGCAGCGCGGGGGCAACCCUGGCGGCGAGCGGCGGACGGGUGAGUAAGGCAUCGGAAUCUGCCCUGAUGUGGGGGAUAACGUAGGGAAACUUACGCUAAUACCGCAUACGACCGAGAGGUGAAAGCGGGGGACCGAAAGGCCUCGCGCAGCAGGAUGAGCCGAUGUCCGAUUAGCUGGUUGGUGGGGUAAAGGCCUACCAAGGCGACGAUCGGUAGCUGGUCUGAGAGGAUGAUCAGCCACACUGGGACUGUGACACGGCCCAGACUCCUACGGGAGGCAGCAGUGGGGAAUAUUGGACAAUGGGGGCAACCCUGAUCCAGCAAUGCCGCGUGUGUGAAGAAGGCCUUCGGGUUGUAAAGCACUUUUAUCGGGAGCGAAACGCGCCAGACUAAUAUUCUGGUGAACUGACGGUACCCGAGGAAUAAGCACCGGCUAACUCCGUGCCAGCAGCCGCGGUAAUACGGAGGGUGCAAGCGUUAAUCGGAAUUACUGGGCGUAAAGCGUGCGUAGGCGGUAAGUUAAGUCUGCUGUGAAAUCCCUGGGCUCAACCUGGGAAUGGCGGUGGAUACUGGCUUGCUGGAGUACGGUAGAGGAAGGUGGAAUUCCCGGUGUAGCGGUGAAAUGCGUAGAGAUCGGGAGGAACAUCAGUGGCGAAGGCGACCUU